Hyla sarda is the source of this 1041-nucleotide long non-coding RNA. RefSeq lists it as uncharacterized. The record is from RefSeq and is a predicted model, not a curated record. Lineage: Eukaryota; Metazoa; Chordata; Amphibia; Anura; Hylidae. The transcript has 3 exons.
GAAAGAAGCAAUCUGGUUGCUAUGGGCAACUGCACCACUCUGCCUCCACACAGGAUUUGAUAAAUCUCCCACAAAAUCUGAGGAAAUGUCAAUAAUUUGUGUAGAUAACAAGGAACGGGAUAUGGCAAAACCUGAAAUUUACUCUCUACAAUAUCCACAAGGACAUUGGUUCUUCGGGGGACAAACAGAAACACUGGGACAAAGCCUUCCUUAGCUUGUCAUCAAACACAAAUGAUGAUAAUAUAAGCCUAUGAGAACUGUCUUACACAGUAUGGCUAGGCGUUGUAGCAUGUGAGUUUUUCCAAAGUUGUAGUGCCUUGUCGAUCCCUUCCUGAAUGUCAAUUAACCAUAUGUCAGUGCCCGCUGAAUUAAGGGAUAUGCCAUUUUCCUCAAAGAGAUGAGGGGAACCAUCUUCCAGCCCUCUGUGGUGAAUCACCACUACACCCUUCUUUGUAAGAAAUUUUGAGGCGUUAUGGUUCACCUUGAUGCGAGCACGUCCAAUACCAUUCUUGCUUUGUGCUUGUGGCCAUUUAUGUCGGUUUACAAUGUCUGACCAUACAAUAAUUGCUUCUGAAAAUAGAGCCUGCAACCUCAACAUAUCAAACUUUAUGAUUUCUAUCAGCUCCCUUAUCGGAAUAAUCCCUAGAUCAUCCGCUCCGGCGUGCACAACCAGUAUGUCAGGGGGCCGGUCCAGAAGAGCUUGACGGGCAGCUGUAGGCCUAACACAAUCCCAUGUGAUACCAUCUGUUCCCAACCAACGAAUAAUGACCUUCGAACGCGAAAAACCCAACUGGCAUCCAUCUGGCAGGAGUGAUAGUCGUUUCAUUGCCGAAGUAACAAAAGAAUCUCCAAGAAUCCAAACCAAGCAAGGCUGGCAAUCUGCAGAAACAAGGAGCUGUCGGGAGAGGCGGGAUACCAUGGUGGUCAGGGACUGGCUGAGCAACUCCUCACAAAAACAAGAAAGCAACGGUAGUGAGGGGAGACCGUGAGCUUCUGAGGACAGGAAAAAGGUAAGGAAGACUUAUUUAUAUUGUUACACUA